GAACGAAGCAAUUAAGUGGAAGCCUUCGGGUGGAAAUUUAAUUGACUUAGUGGCGGACGGGUGAGUAACGCGUGGGUAACCUGCCUUAUACAGGGGGAUAACAGCUGGAAACGGCUGCUAAUACCGCAUAAGCACACAGUAUCGCAUGGUACAGUGUGAGAAGAUUUAUCGGUAUAAGAUGGACCCGCGUCUGAUUAGCUAGUUGGUGAGGUAAUGGCCCACCAAGGCGACGAUCAGUAGCCGGCUUGUGAGAGUGAACGGCCACAUUGGGACUGAGACACGGCCCAAACUCCUACGGGAGGCAGCAGUGGGGAAUAUUGCACAAUGGGGGAAACCCUGAUGCAGCGACGCCGCGUGAGUGAAGAAGUAUUUCGGUAUGUAAAGCUCUAUCAGCAGGGACGAUAAUGACGGUACCUGACUAAGAAGCCCCGGCUAACUACGUGCCAGCAGCCGCGGUAAU
This 460-nucleotide ribosomal RNA is filed under the name uncultured bacterium. RNAcentral's name for it is "bacterial SSU rRNA". It matches the Rfam family "Bacterial small subunit ribosomal RNA", at positions 46 to 524 of the family's 1533-position model. The record is from RNAcentral.